UCUACCCUUUAGAUCGGGAUAACUAGCCGAAAGGUUAGCUAAUACCGGGUAUGACCACGGUCAGUAUCGUCUGAUCGAGGUAAGAGCAGGGACCGCAAGGCCUUGCGCUAAAGGAUGAGUCCGCGGCUGAUUAGCUAGUUGGCGGGGUAAUGGCCCACCAAGGCGACGAUCAGUAGCCGGCCUGAGAGGGUGAUCGGCCACACUGGGACUGAGACACGGCCCAG
This 224-nucleotide ribosomal RNA is filed under the name uncultured bacterium. Its description in RNAcentral is "partial 16S ribosomal RNA". It matches the Rfam family "Bacterial small subunit ribosomal RNA", at positions 125 to 334 of the family's 1533-position model. The record is from RNAcentral.